CCUACGGGAGGCAGCAGUGGGGAAUCUUGCGCAAUGGGCGAAAGCCUGACGCAGCAACGCCGCGUGCGGGAUGACGGCCUUCGUGGUUGUAAACCGCUUUCAGCAGGGACGAAAAUGACGGUACCUGCAGAAGAAGCCCCGGCUAACUACGUGCCAGCAGCCGCGGUAAUACGUAGGGGGCGAGCGUUGUCCGGAUUCAUUGGGCGUAAAGAGCUCGUAGGCGGUUCAGUAAGUCAGGUGUGAAAGCUCCGAGCUCAACUCGGAGAGGCCACUUGAUACUGCUGUGACUAGAAUCCAGUAGGGGAGCGUGGAAUUCCUGGUGUAGCGGUGAAAUGCGCAGAUAUCAGGAGGAACACCAGCGGCGAAGGCGGCGCUCUGGGCUGGAAUUGACGCUGAGGAGCGAAAGUGUGGGUAGCAAACAGGAUUAGAUACCCGUGUAG
This 440-nucleotide ribosomal RNA is filed under the name uncultured bacterium. RNAcentral's name for it is "bacterial SSU rRNA". It matches the Rfam family "Bacterial small subunit ribosomal RNA", at positions 338 to 793 of the family's 1533-position model. The record is from RNAcentral.